This is a non-coding RNA of Mycena alexandri, 84 nucleotides long. NCBI's taxonomy places the organism in Eukaryota, Fungi, Basidiomycota, Agaricomycetes, Agaricales, Mycenaceae. The record is from the annotation of a GenBank genome assembly.
GCCUCUUUAGCUCAGUGGUAGAGCGCUGCACUUGUACAAAACGAGCAUAUGCAGCGGUCAGUCGUUCAAUCCGGCUAGGAGGCA